GUGAGUGGGAAGACGCACAUCCUUGACUGGACAGCGUCAGUGGAGUUGUUUACAAGGCAAGUUGUAAAAUAUGUCGGCGAGUGUUUUCAGUGGCGCACGGUGGGCUGUCUGACAUCAGACAGCAUGCAACAGGAGAGCAACACUGCAGACACGAAAGAUCACAGAAGACCCAAGCGUCAGUGUCACAGUUCUUCAUACCCCAAUCAUCUCCUGAGGUUGAUACGGUAUGGGACAUUAUGUUGUGAAACAGGAAGAUGUUCCCCCUUGCUGUUCAAUACUUCAGUCCAGAAUGCGGGGUCACCAACAAAAUGCUGGAUUUCAUUGAAAAUGCAGAUGAGUCCGCUGCUGGGAUUGUAGCUCUCACAGAGCAGUCGCUUGACAAAUUUGGCUUAUCGUUGGAUCAUGUGACAGCAUUUAGUGCACUGCAGACAACACAAAUGUGAAUUAUGGAAUUCACAACUCUGUCUUCACCAACGUUCAGAAGUAACAAAAAGAUCUGCUGCAAGGAAACUGCCAUGCCCAUAUUUUGCACAACACAGUGAAGCAUGCUCUUGACCAGCUCACUGUAGAUGUGGAAAAUGUUGUGCUGAAGGUCUAUGCCUUCUUUUCCACAUCUGCCAAACGAAGAGAAAAAGAACUUCUGGAAGAAGGGGGGGGCCUGGAGGGUCUUUUACCUUUAAUAAUUCAUCGUCUUUAAUAACAAAAUACCAACAGAAGUUACUUCUGGAAAAAGAAGUAACAGUUUUGAGGGGAGGAGUAAUGUUGAGGGAAGGAGUAAUGUUUUGCACUCUUUUUUUACAUAAGUUUAUAAGUGUUUUUGUUGUUUAUUUGUACUGGUUUUUUUUGUAAAAAUGUUCAAAGAGAGUCCCUAUAGUUAUGCACUUAAAAAGUAACAUGAAGUUCUCAGUUUAUUUAGUUUAUAUUUUAAAAGUUCAUUGCUGCACACGCCACACAAAGAGAUUUCAUUCAAGAUUUAAUUGACUGCACUUUAUAAAAGAAUGUUAUGUGGUAAUAAAGCAUUUCAAGCUUUAAGUAUGACUAAUUCCUUUCUUGAUCAACCCUUUACUAAAAACACCAGCACAAAAUAAAACAUACCACUGCUGCGGGCGCCCCGCCCCACAGGAGUCGGGCCCGUGGUGGGCGUCCCUUAUUUUAAUUUCUGAAAGUUGGCAACCCUACCUUUAGGACACAUUUAAAGAUGCCAAAGGAUUUGUGCGUAAAGUACGUCUUAAGACAAAAAGCAAUGUAUUGGAAAGGCCCAUUACUAAGUUAUGUUUACUACUAGAAACUGAAUGAGCUUUGAAAAUCUGUUGAGUAUUCUCGAAGAAAGUUGUCCAAUCCCGGGUUGCUUUAACUCACUUCAUUUAUUAUAAAGUCGUCGGCAUGUUUCGGCAUGGUAAGUGAAGCUAUACGGAGGGAAUUGUAGGAAUUGGUAGAACACGUGUGAGAGAUAAUAACUCUGGCUACUACGGGACAUGGGCAAAGGCCCAUGUCCCCUCGCGGGUGUCGCUGAAAAUCUCUGAGGCGUUCACUCGACGUCCUCCGUACAGGACAUCAAGUGGGUGUGGCCUAUGCAGUGGGCGUGGCCUAGUGGGCGUGGCCGGGGUGACGUUAUGGCUUAGGCUUCUUCACUUAAUUAAAGGUGAAGGGGGAGCAGCCUUCAAUAACGUCAUGCUCCCCUUGUGGCUAUGUGAGGGUAACGCAGCUUAUAUGUUUGGUCCUACUUCCUAGUGGACAAGUGAGGGAAGCUUAGAUUCUUAAAAUACGUAACAAUCCCUCCUUGGUCAUCUUAGAUGACCAUACAAUAAUAUUUUAAAUCAUAAACACCAUUUACCACA
Long non-coding RNA from Gadus morhua (Atlantic cod), 1838 nucleotides. The record is from Ensembl. Lineage: Eukaryota; Metazoa; Chordata; Actinopteri; Gadiformes; Gadidae.